Non-coding RNA from Haemonchus contortus (barber pole worm), 75 nucleotides. NCBI's taxonomy places the organism in Eukaryota, Metazoa, Nematoda, Chromadorea, Rhabditida, Trichostrongylidae. The record is from Rfam.
GGCCCAAAUCUGAAGUAGAGUAGAUAAGUGAGGUCAGCUGAUCCUACUAAUCUACUGUACUUCAAAUUUGGGCCC